GCGGACGUGGCGAAAUUGGCAUACGCACUGGCUUUAGGUGCCAGCGCCGCAAGGCAUGGGGGUUCGAGUCCCCCCGUCCGCA
RNAcentral lists this transfer RNA (82 nucleotides) under Actinomycetes bacterium. Its description in RNAcentral is "Actinobacteria bacterium (marine metagenome) tRNA-Leu". It matches the Rfam family "tRNA". Rfam says of the family: Transfer RNA (tRNA) molecules are approximately 80 nucleotides in length. RNAcentral also lists the same sequence under 3 other names. The record is from RNAcentral. Lineage: Bacteria; Bacillati; Actinomycetota; Actinomycetes.